This 69-nucleotide transfer RNA is filed under the name Sceloporus teapensis. RNAcentral's name for it is "tRNA-Trp". It matches the Rfam family "tRNA". From Rfam's summary of the family: Transfer RNA (tRNA) molecules are approximately 80 nucleotides in length. Their secondary structure includes four short double-helical elements and three loops (D, anti-codon, and T loops). Further hydrogen bonds mediate the characteristic L-shaped molecular structure. tRNAs have two regions of fundamental functional importance: the anti-codon, which is responsible for specific mRNA codon recognition, and the 3' end, to which the tRNAs corresponding amino acid is attached (by aminoacyl-tRNA synthetases). tRNAs cope with the degeneracy of the genetic code in two manners: having more than one tRNA (with a specific anti-codon) for a particular amino acid; and 'wobble' base-pairing, i.e. permitting non-standard base-pairing at the 3rd anti-codon position. The record is from RNAcentral. Lineage: Eukaryota; Metazoa; Chordata; Lepidosauria; Squamata; Phrynosomatidae.
AGAAGCUUAGGAUAAACAUAAACCAAGGGCCUUCAAAGCCCUAAAUAGGGAUUAAAACCCUAGCUUCUG